Molecule: ribosomal RNA, 469 nt
Filed under: uncultured bacterium
Lineage: Bacteria
Description: partial 16S ribosomal RNA
Rfam family: Bacterial small subunit ribosomal RNA
Source: RNAcentral
GAUGAACGCUGGCGGCGUGCUUAACACAUGCAAGUCGAACGGUGAACCCGGAGCUUGCUCUGUGGGAUCAGUGGCGAACGGGUGAGUAACACGUGAGCAACCUGCCCCUGACUCUGGGAUAAGCGCUGGAAACGGCGUCUAAUACUGGAUAUGUGACGUGACCGCAUGGUCUGCGUUUGGAAAGAUUUUUCGGUUGGGGAUGGUCUCGCGGCCUAUCAGCUUGUUGGUGAGGUAAUGGCUCACCAAGGCGUCGACGGGUAGCCGGCCUGAGAGGGUGACCGGCCACACUGGGACUGAGACACGGCCCAGACUCCUACGGGAGGCAGCAGUGGGGAAUAUUGCACAAUGGGCGCAAGCCUGAUGCAGCAACGCCGCGUGAGGGAUGACGGCCUUCGGGUUGUAAACCUCUUUUAGCAGGGAAGAAGCGAAAGUGACGGUACCUGCAGAAAAAGCGCCGGCUAACUACGUG